RNAcentral lists this ribosomal RNA (253 nucleotides) under uncultured bacterium. RNAcentral's name for it is "partial 16S ribosomal RNA". It matches the Rfam family "Bacterial small subunit ribosomal RNA", at positions 524 to 776 of the family's 1533-position model. The record is from RNAcentral.
UACGUAGGGUGCAAGCGUUGUCCGGAAUUAUUGGGCGUAAAGAGCUCGUAGGCGGUUUGUUGCGUCGGCUGUGAAAUCCCGAGGCUCAACCUCGGGUCUGCAGUCGAUACGAGCAAACUAGAGUGUUGCAGGGGAGACUGGAAUUCCUGGUGUAGCGGUGAAAUGCGCAGAUAUCAGGAGGAAGACCAGUGGCGAAGGCGGGUCUCUGGACAGUUCCUGACACUGAGGCACGAAGGCCAGGGGAGCAAACGGG